AAGUAUCAUGACGUAGUCGAUGCGCCACUAUUGAAGAAAACUUUUUUGUGAUUUUACCCCAUACUUGUUUGAAUGUUGUAAAAUUUGCAUGAGCUAUUGGCUUCCCAUGGCGAGAGUCUGAAACAUGUUUUGAAGUGCCUCUCCUUUCCUUCCAUUUGAAAUUAAAAAAACAAUGUCAUAUCAUGUGGUGAAAUUGCCUAGAAAAAGUAUGUAGCAUUUGAUCCCAGACAU
Molecule: unclassified non-coding RNA, 231 nt
Filed under: Hevea brasiliensis (rubber tree)
Lineage: Eukaryota; Viridiplantae; Streptophyta; Magnoliopsida; Malpighiales; Euphorbiaceae
Source: RNAcentral